AGCUGGCAACAAGCUUUGAUCCGGUAAUGUCCGAAUGGGGAAACCCACCCGCUUGCGGGUAUCCUGCAGUGAAUACAUAGCUGCUGGAAGCGAACCUGGUGAACUGAAAUAUCUAAGUAACCAGAGGAAAAGAAAUCAACCGAGAUUCCGUAAGUAGCGACGAGCGAACGCGGACUAGCCCUUAAGCUGAUUUGGUUCUAGGAAAAUGCUCUGGAAAGAGCAGCCAUAGAAGGUGAUAGCCCUGUAUCUGAAAGGGCCAUUUCAGUGAAGACGAGUAGGGCGGGGCACGUGAAACCCUGUCUGAACAUGGGGGGACCAUCCUCCAAGGCUAAAUACUACUGACCGACCGAUAGUGAACCAGUACCGUGAGGGAAAGGCGAAAAGAACCCCGGAGAGGGGAGUGAAAUAGAACCUGAAACCGUGUGCGUACAAGCAGUAGGAGCUCCGCAAGGAGUGACUGCGUACCUUUUGUAUAAUGGGUCAGCGACUUACUGUUCGUGGCAAGCUUAACCGUAUAGGGGAGGCGAAGGGAAACCGAGUCUGAUAAGGGCGCAUAGUCGCGGGCAGUAGACCCGAAACCGGGUGAUCUAGUCAUGCCCAGGGUGAAGGUGCGGUAACACGCACUGGAGGCCCGAACCCACUCCCGUUGCAAAGGUAGGGGAUGAGGUGUGAUUAGGAGUGAAAAGCUAAUCGAACCCGGAGAUAGCUGGUUCUCCUCGAAAGCUAUUUAGGUAGCGCCUCAUAUGUAUCCUCUCGGGGGUAGAGCACUGUUAUGGCUAGGGGGUCAUCGCGACUUACCAAACCAUUGCAAACUCCGAAUACCGAGACGGACUGUAUGGGAGACACACGGCGGGUGCUAACGUCCGUCGUGAAAAGGGAAACAACCCAGACCCACAGCUAAGGUCCCAAAUUUGCUAAGUGGAAAACCAUGUGGAAAGGCACAGACAGCCAGGAGGUUGGCUUAGAAGCAGCCACCCUUUAAAGAAAGCGUAAUAGCUCACUGGUCGAGUCGGUCUGCGGGGAAGAUUUAACGGGGCUAAGCAGUGAACCGAAGCUUGGGGUGCAUAACUUUGUUAUGCGCGGUAGAGGAGCGUUCCGUAAGCCGUUGAAGGUGGAUUGAGAAGUCUGCUGGAGGUAUCGGAAGUGCGAAUGCUGACAUGAGUAACGAUAAUGCGGGUGAAAAACCCGCACGCCGAAAGCCCAAGGUUUCCUUGCGCAACGUUAAUCGGCGCAGGGUGAGUCGGCCCCUAAGGCGAGGACGAAAGUCGUAGUCGAUGGGAAGCAGGUUAAUAUUCCUGCACCUCGCGUAAGUGCGAUGGAGGGACGGAGAAGGUUAGGUGUACCAGGCGUUGGUUGUCCUGGGGAAAGGCGGUAGGUUUGGAUCUUUGGCAAAUCCGGGAUCCUUUAAGACCGAGCACCGAGACGAGCCUUUAUGGCGAAGUCACUGAUACCACGCUUCCAGGAAAAGCUCCUAAGCUUCAGCUUACGCAGACCGUACCGUAAACCGACACAGGUGGGUAGGAUGAGAAUUCUCAGGCGCUUGAGAGAACUCGGGUGAAGGAACUAGGCAACAUGGCACCGUAACUUCGGGAGAAGGUGCACCCUUUUUGGUGGCUCGUGCGAGCUAUAGCUGAAGAGGGUCGCAGUAACCAGGCCGCUGCGACUGUUUAUCAAAAACACAGCACUCUGCAAACACGAAAGUGGACGUAUAGGGUGUGACGCCUGCCCGGUGCUGGAAGGUUAAUUGAUGGGGUCAGCCGCAAGGCGAAGCUCUUGAUCGAAGCCCCAGUAAACGGCGGCCGUAACUAUAACGGUCCUAAGGUAGCGAAAUUCCUUGUCGGGUAAGUUCCGACCUGCACGAAUGGCGUAACGACAGCGGCGCUGUCUCCACCCGAGACUCAGUGAAAUUGAAAUCGCUGUGAAGAUGCAGCGUUCCCGUGGCAAGACGGAAAGACCCCGUGAACCUUUACUAUAGCUUUACACUGAACGUUGAGUUCGUCUGUGUAGGAUAGGUGGGAGGCUAUGAAACCAUGGCGCUAGCUGUGGCGGAGCCAUCCUUGAAAUACCACCCUGUCGUGCUUGACGUUCUAACCUGGGCCCAUUAUCUGGGUCGGGGACCGUGUAUGGUGGGUAGUUUGACUGGGGCGGUCUCCUCCUAAAGAGUAACGGAGGAGCUCGAAGGUACGCUCAGCGCGGUCGGACAUCGCGCACUGUGUGCAAAGGCAUAAGCGUGCUUGACUGCAAGAUCGACGGAUCAAGCAGGUAGGAAACUAGGAC
RNAcentral lists this ribosomal RNA (2277 nucleotides) under ant fungus garden metagenome. RNAcentral's name for it is "bacterial LSU rRNA". It matches the Rfam family "Bacterial large subunit ribosomal RNA", at positions 84 to 2411 of the family's 2925-position model. The record is from RNAcentral.